Molecule: microRNA precursor, 202 nt
Organism: Oryza rufipogon (brownbeard rice)
Lineage: Eukaryota; Viridiplantae; Streptophyta; Magnoliopsida; Poales; Poaceae
Rfam family: MIR812 microRNA precursor family
Source: Rfam
CUAACGGCCAACCCUUCCCUAUUCCCUACUUUAAGUGUCCGUCUUAUAUAAAUUUUUUUUAUAAUUCGUAUUUUCAUUGUUGCUAGAUGAUAAAACAUGAUUAAUAUUUUAUGCGUGACUUGUCUUUUUAAUUCUUUUCAUAAUUUUUUUAAAUAAGACGGACGGUUAAAUAUUGGACACGGAAACCAGGGUUUGUCUUUUU